RNAcentral lists this long non-coding RNA (1109 nucleotides) under Heterocephalus glaber (naked mole-rat). RNAcentral's name for it is "lncRNA (ENSHGLG00000032020.1)". Lineage: Eukaryota; Metazoa; Chordata; Mammalia; Rodentia; Bathyergidae. The record is from RNAcentral.
CUCGGGUCCUUGCGCUUGUGCAGCACGCGGUGAAACCACUGAGCUAAAUCCCCGGCCCGGGAUGCACUAUUUUAAAGUAGGAAUUUCUGGCUUUGAUCCAGCCCCCACCGAUAGUAUUGAUUUGGCUGCUAAUGCAUCCUUAGAGGUUCAGUGGGGGCCAUUUUCAUUAGUCAUCCUGAGGCCAUGAGCUUGGACUCCUCCAGGUUAUUAUGUGCUCAAGCCUUGCUUCCCUGUCCUGCUGAGAUGGCUCCAUUUCUGCUUGAUUUCCUCAUGCUCCCAUCCCUUGCUACUUUGGCUUUCUGAAACAUUGGCCCUUCUGUGACAGUUCCUCCUUGCUCCCUGUUCCUCCUCAUACAGCCUUUUGCUAGAGGGAACUGGUGGAAGUAAGAAACAUCUAAGACAACUUCUGCUCUGGUCUUAACCCAUAUAAGAUGAUGGCAUCUAGUGGGUGACAGCUGGUGUCACUGUGCGUGACUCAUUACCUCCUUGUUGCUCAUCCCUCCUUAGGGGGUGAUCAGAGUGGAAAGAAGGGGGCAGUGAACAGCCUCUGUGCCUAGCCUCAGGUAAAAGAAACCUCCCUCCAGCUCUCCCACCCCAGCAUGGGUGAGAUAGACAUAAAACUCUGACCCAGAUUCUUUCCCAGUAGACUGAGAAUUUCCCUAUCAGGCCUCAGUUCUUGAUAAGAUUCUCACCUGACUUUGGACUUAGAGCCUAUGCUUCUGUCUUCCCUAAGGCAGUACCACUUCUUCCUCUCUUUAACUGCUGUGUGUUGGCAUAGGAAUUCUGCCUGCCUCCUCAGACUCCAACUACUCGAGCUGUGAGCUAUUGCUGGGGCUCACAGAGGCUUGACCUGUAAACCUUUAGUCUGACCCUUAUGAUGAGGGGAAAUGGGUUAAAAAUGUGAAGAGAGAACUCAUACCACAGUCCAUCUUUUCCUGUGGAGGAGGAGGUCUGAUGAGAAUAAAGGAGUAAUACUUGAACAGUGAAAAGAGGCAACUGUCACUCUGAAAAAGGAGAAAGUAGAAGGUGCAUAUGAUAAUUGUUAUGUCUGCAGGGUUUGUUGGUCAGGCCUGAUUCUGAUCACUUUAUAUGUAUUAAAUCAUUCUCAC